This 523-nucleotide small RNA is filed under the name Pan troglodytes (chimpanzee). RNAcentral describes it as "processed transcript". Lineage: Eukaryota; Metazoa; Chordata; Mammalia; Primates; Hominidae. The record is from RNAcentral.
AGGGCGGGGGAGGCGUGUGGCCCAGCCGCCCGCCCCUGUGGCUGCUACCGCUGCCAGGGGACUGCAGGGAGGCCGGGCUGAGUCAGCGCCACUGCCGCUGCUGCGUGUCCCUUUCUAAGGCCUCGGACCGCACCGCUUUCGCCCUGCGGCCCGGCUCGGUAGCCUGAUCAGUCGCGUUCCCGGCUGCGUCUCCAGUCACCGAGCGGGACGGCGGGAUGGCGGGGUCGAUCUGUGCAGACGCUGCUAGUGGUUCCGCAGUCGUCGCUGGGUCAGCUGUUUCAAGCGGCGGAUCUGCUCCUAUAGAUGUCCAGAUUGUUAGACGGAAAAUUAUAUUUCACUGUGGUCUAUUGGAGAUUUUGGAAACUUGGACUCUGAUGGAGGGUUUGAAGGAGACCAUCAGUUAUUGUGUGAUAUCAGACACCAUGGUGAUGUAAUGGAUUUACAGUUUUUUGACCAGGAAAGAAUUGUCGCUGCUUCAUCAACAGGAUGUGUAACAGUUUUCCUUCACCAUCCAAAUAACCAG